UUUCUUCGGAGAUGGAUUAGCGGCGAACGGGUGAGGAACACGUGAAGAAUCUGCCCUCCACUUUGGGAUAACACCGGGAAACCGGUGCUAAUACCGAAUAUUGAAACAUAAGUGGCAUCACUGAGUUUUUAAAGAAUUUCGGUGGAGGAUGACUUCGCGGCCUAUCAGCUAGUUGGUGAGGUAAUGGCUCACCAAGGCAACGACGGGUAGCCGGCCUGAGAGGGCGACCGGCCACACUGGGACUGAGACACGGCCCAGACUCCUACGGGAGGCAGCAGUGGGGAAUAUUGGGCAAUGGAGGAAACUCUGACCCAGCGACGCCGCGUGCGGGAUGAAGGCCUUCGGGUUGUAAACCGCUUUCAGUAGGGAAGAAGCGAAAGUGACGGUACCUACAAAAGAAGCACCGGCUAACUAUGUGCCAGCAGCCGCGGUAAUACAUAGGGUGCAAGCGUUGUCCGGAAUUAUUGGGCGUAAAGAGCUCGUAGGUCGUUUGCCACGUCGGAUGUG
Molecule: ribosomal RNA, 507 nt
Filed under: uncultured Actinomycetales bacterium
Lineage: Bacteria; Bacillati; Actinomycetota; Actinomycetes; Actinomycetales
Description: bacterial SSU rRNA
Rfam family: Bacterial small subunit ribosomal RNA
Source: RNAcentral